RNAcentral lists this ribosomal RNA (253 nucleotides) under uncultured bacterium. RNAcentral's name for it is "partial 16S ribosomal RNA". It matches the Rfam family "Bacterial small subunit ribosomal RNA", at positions 524 to 776 of the family's 1533-position model. The record is from RNAcentral.
UACAGAGGUCUCAAGCGUUGUUCGGAUUCACUGGGCGUAAAGGGUGCGCAGGCGGCCGUGUGUGUGAGGCGUGAAAGCCCGAUGCUUAACAUCGGAAUUGCACCUCAAACUACACGGCUAGAGCAUUGGAGAGGGUAGCGGAAUUCACGGUGUAGCAGUGAAAUGCGUAGAUAUCGUGAGGAACACCAGAGGCGAAGGCGGCUACCUGGACAAUUGCUGACGCUCAGGCACGAAAGCGUGGGGAGCAAAAGGG